GACGAACGCUGGCGGCGUGCUUAACACAUGCAAGUCGAACGGAAAGGCCCUGCUUGCAGGGUACUCGAGUGGCGAACGGGUGAGUAACACGUGGGUGAUCUGCCCUGCACUUCGGGAUAAGCUUGGGAAACUGGGUCUAACACCGGAUAGGAACCAUCUUUAGUGUGGUGGUUGGAAAGUUUUUUCGGUGUAGGAUGAGCUCGCGGCCUAUCAGCUUGUUGGUGGGGUAAUGGCCUACCAAGGCGGCGACGGGUAGCCGGCCUGAGAGGGUGUACGGCCACAUUGGGACUGAGAUACGGCCCAGACUCCUACGGGAGGCAGCAGUGGGGAAUAUUGCACAAUGGGCGCAAGCCUGAUGCAGCGACGCCGCGUGGGGGAUGAAGGCCUUCGGGUUGUAAACUCCUUUCGCUAGGGACGAAGCUUUUUGUGACGGUACCUAGAUAAGAAGCACCGGCUAACUACGUG
Molecule: ribosomal RNA, 465 nt
Filed under: uncultured bacterium
Lineage: Bacteria
Description: partial 16S ribosomal RNA
Rfam family: Bacterial small subunit ribosomal RNA
Source: RNAcentral